GAUUAAGUUAUUAAGGGCGCACGGUGGAUGCCUUGGCACUAGAAGCCGAUGAAGGACGUUACUAACGACGAUAUGCUUUGGGGAGCUGUAAGUAAGCUUUGAUCCAGAGAUUUCCGAAUGGGGAAACCCAGCAUGAGUUAUGUCAUGUUAUCGAUAUGUGAAUACAUAGCAUAUCAGAAGGCACACCCGGAGAACUGAAACAUCUUAGUACCCGGAGGAAGAGAAAGAAAAUUCGAUCCCCUUAGUAGCGGCGAGCGAAACGGGAAGAGCCCAAACCAACAAGCUUGCUUGUUGGGGUUGUAGGACACUCUAUACGGAGUUACAAAGGACGACAUUAGACGAAUCAUCUGGAAAGAUGAAUCAAAGAAGGUAAUAAUCCUGUAGUCGAAAAUGUUGUCUCUCUUGAGUGGAUCCUGAGUACGACGGAGCACGUGAAAUUCCGUCGGAAUCUGGGAGGACCAUCUCCUAAGGCUAAAUACUCUCUAGUGACCGAUAGUGAACCAGUACCGUGAGGGAAAGGUGAAAAGCACCCCGGAAGGGGAGUGAAAUAGAACCUGAAACCGUGUGCUUACAAGUAGUCAGAGCCCGUUAAUGGGUGAUGGCGUGCCUUUUGUAGAAUGAACCGGCGAGUUACGAUUUGAUGCAAGGUUAAGCAGUAAAUGUGGAGCCGUAGCGAAAGCGAGUCUGAAUAGGGCGUUUAGUAUUUGGUCGUAGACCCGAAACCAGGUGAUCUACCCUUGGUCAGGUUGAAGUUCAGGUAACACUGAAUGGAGGACCGAACCGACUUACGUUGAAAAGUGAGCGGAUGAACUGAGGGUAGCGGAGAAAUUCCAAUCGAACCUGGAGAUAGCUGGUUCUCUCCGAAAUAGCUUUAGGGCUAGCCUCAAGUGAUGAUUAUUGGAGGUAGAGCACUGUUUGGACGAGGGGCCCCUCUCGGGUUACCGAAUUCAGACAAACUCCGAAUGCCAAUUAAUUUAACUUGGGAGUCAGAACAUGGGUGAUAAGGUCCGUGUUCGAAAGGGAAACAGCCCAGACCACCAGCUAAGGUCCCAAAAUAUAUGUUAAGUGGAAAAGGAUGUGGCGUUGCCCAGACAACUAGGAUGUUGGCUUAGAAGCAGCCAUCAUUUAAAGAGUGCGUAAUAGCUCACUAGUCGAGUGACACUGCGCCGAAAAUGUACCGGGGCUAAACAUAUUACCGAAGCUGUGGAUUGUCCUUUGGACAAUGGUAGGAGAGCGUUCUAAGGGCGUUGAAGCAUGAUCGUAAGAACAUGUGGAGCGCUUAGAAGUGAGAAUGCCGGUGUGAGUAGCGAAAGACGGGUGAGAAUCCCGUCCACCGAUUGACUAAGGUUUCCAGAGGAAGGCUCGUCCGCUCUGGGUUAGUCGGGUCCUAAGCUGAGGCCGACAGGCGUAGGCGAUGGAUAACAGGUUGAUAUUCCUGUACCACCUAUAAUCGUUUUAAUCGAUGGGGGGACGCAGUAGGAUAGGCGAAGCGUGCGAUUGGAUUGCACGUCUAAGCAGUAAGGCUGAGUAUUAGGCAAAUCCGGUACUCGUUAAGGCUGAGCUGUGAUGGGGAGAAGACAUUGUGUCUUCGAGUCGUUGAUUUCACACUGCCGAGAAAAGCCUCUAGAUAGAAAAUAGGUGCCCGUACCGCAAACCGACACAGGUAGUCAAGAUGAGAAUUCUAAGGUGAGCGAGCGAACUCUCGUUAAGGAACUCGGCAAAAUGACCCCGUAACUUCGGGAGAAGGGGUGCUCUUUAGGGUUAACGCCCAGAAGAGCCGCAGUGAAUAGGCCCAAGCGACUGUUUAUCAAAAACACAGGUCUCUGCUAAACCGUAAGGUGAUGUAUAGGGGCUGACGCCUGCCCGGUGCUGGAAGGUUAAGAGGAGUGGUUAGCUUCUGCGAAGCUACGAAUCGAAGCCCCAGUAAACGGCGGCCGUAACUAUAACGGUCCUAAGGUAGCGAAAUUCCUUGUCGGGUAAGUUCCGACCCGCACGAAAGGCGUAACGAUUUGGGCACUGUCUCAACGAGAGACUCGGUGAAAUCAUAGUACCUGUGAAGAUGCAGGUUACCCGCGACAGGACGGAAAGACCCCGUGGAGCUUUACUGUAGCCUGAUAUUGAAAUUCGGCACAGCUUGUACAGGAUAGGUAGGAGCCUUUGAAACGUGAGCGCUAGCUUACGUGGAGGCGCUGGUGGGAUACUACCCUAGCUGUGUUGGCUUUCUAACCCGCACCACUUAUCGUGGUGGGAGACAGUGUCAGGCGGGCAGUUUGACUGGGGCGGUCGCCUCCUAAAAGGUAACGGAGGCGCUCAAAGGUUCCCUCAGAAUGGUUGGAAAUCAUUCAUAGAGUGUAAAGGCAUAAGGGAGCUUGACUGCGAGACCUACAAGUCGAGCAGGGUCGAAAGACGGACUUAGUGAUCCGGUGGUUCCGCAUGGAAGGGCCAUCGCUCAACGGAUAAAAGCUACCCCGGGGAUAACAGGCUUAUCUCCCCCAAGAGUUCACAUCGACGGGGAGGUUUGGCACCUCGAUGUCGGCUCAUCGCAUCCUGGGGCUGUAGUCGGUCCCAAGGGUUGGGCUGUUCGCCCAUUAAAGCGGUACGCGAGCUGGGUUCAGAACGUCGUGAGACAGUUCGGUCCCUAUCCGUCGUGGGCGUAGGAAAUUUGAGAGGAGCUGUCCUUAGUACGAGAGGACCGGGAUGGACAUACCUCUGGUGUACCAGUUGUCGUGCCAACGGCAUAGCUGGGUAGCUAUGUGUGGACGGGAUAAGUGCUGAAAGCAUCUAAGCAUGAAGCCCCCCUCAAGAUGAGAUUUCCCAACUUCGGUUAUAAGAUC
This 2834-nucleotide ribosomal RNA is filed under the name Staphylococcus aureus. RNAcentral's name for it is "23S ribosomal RNA". It matches the Rfam family "Bacterial large subunit ribosomal RNA". Lineage: Bacteria; Bacillati; Bacillota; Bacilli; Caryophanales; Staphylococcaceae. RNAcentral also lists the same sequence under 1 other name. The record is from RNAcentral.